GUAACCUGGCUUCAGUGCACAGCCUUCCCCAGUAUCGUUUCCUUCAGACUGUCAUCAGGAAGAGUACCUGGAAAUUCCAGCGCACCUGGAUUGGAGCCAACGAUGCCAUCAAGGAGGGUCUUUGGCUGUGGAGCGACGGGUCCAGGUUUAACUACCAGAACUGGGGCCCGGGUCAACACUCUAACUAUAACCAUGGUGUUAUUAAGGACAACCACGAACGGCCAGAACCAUUGUAUGGAGAUGAACUAUGGAGCUUCCCACUGCCAGAAUGAUGCCCCCUGCUGGUUUACAUUUCCCUUCCUGUGUUCCAGAAAGCUGUGAUGUCACAUUUUGGGAGAGACAACAUUGGAGAAGCUCUCUGGCAUUUGAGAUUGUUUUAAAUAAAUGCACCGUCUGCAAUGUUACCUUUUGUUCAGUGGUCAUUUA
Molecule: non-coding RNA, 426 nt
Organism: Salvelinus sp. IW2-2015
Lineage: Eukaryota; Metazoa; Chordata; Actinopteri; Salmoniformes; Salmonidae
Source: RefSeq, a predicted model, not a curated record